CACACACACACACACACACACACACACACACACACACACACACACUCAACACUUAAUGCCUUAAAGAGCCCACAGUCUCCACAGCAGUCCUGCUCGGUCUCCCCUCAGCCCCAAACCGCUCGGUGUAGCCCAACACCGGGAUAACACAGGGACCGACCACCGGGGGAGCGGGUCUCUCCUCUGUCCGUUACCGACGGCUCCGUGGGGGUUUCUCGCGGGGGAGCGGUGACGUGUUUGCCUCCAUUUUCCUCUGGAUUAUCGCUGUUAAAGUUGCUUCUACCUCCGCAGCCUCCUUCCGUGUCUUUUUUUUUUUUAAACGCGGAGUAUACCCCGAAGAAUCCCGAAGAGGUCAAAAAAAACCUGUGGCGUCGGAGGAAGAGGAAGAGGAAGAAGAAGAAGAAGAAGAGGUCGAGAGAGAGAGAGCGAGAGCGAGAGAGGAGGGACUGAGGUGUGAAUGAUUCUUUUUAAAAUAGAGUGAGAAAAAGAUUAACACAAUUGCCAAUUUCUGGGGACGGAAAGAAGAAGAGCAGAGGAAGAAAACGUCAUAAUGACAAGAAGAGAGGGAAUAAGAGAGAGGACGAGGAGGAGGAGGAGGAGGAAGAGACGCAGCUCCGCGAGCUACAGAGGACCCCACACAAGAGCCCUUCUGCCAGGAGACGCAGAGGGCAGCGAACAGAGGGACGCACAUGGAGGAGAGGAAAAAAAAAGAAGACGUCUUGGAAGACACUCUGGAAGAUACCCCCCCUCCUCCUCCCCCCUUCCUUAUACACAUAAACACUCGUACACACACCUCCCCUUCCCACGCACCAGCCAGCUAUUUUUUACAUCCCACAAGUAUCCCACCAUAAGAAAAGAAAAC
Molecule: long non-coding RNA, 859 nt
Organism: Hippoglossus stenolepis (Pacific halibut)
Lineage: Eukaryota; Metazoa; Chordata; Actinopteri; Pleuronectiformes; Pleuronectidae
Exons: 3
Source: RefSeq, a predicted model, not a curated record